AGUGGGAGGUGGGGCCAGUCUGGCACAGUCUGUGGGUUUGAAAGGAGCUGGGCGGGUUGGAGAAUGCCAGUCAGCCUUUGUAGUUCUGAGCUCAGAGAGGGGGUGACACAUACUGGGCUUCAGGUCAGAAGCCUGGCUUGGGUGGCUUUUGGAGAAAUUUUCCCUCUGCUCCCAAACUCUUAAAAGGUGCUCAUCACACCACUGGCCUCCAAUCACAGCAUAAGCACGUGUUCCAAAGGCCAUCCUCCAGCAGAGAUUUCGGCAGUGGUACCUGUUGGCUGGCUCAUGGGGUCCUUUCCUUUUUCCAUUCCCUGGAAGCCGUCAACUGGACUGAAUACAACAUCUUUGCGUCUUUUUCUUCACCCUCCCCACAUGCUUGCAUCUCCCAGACUCCUAGGGUUAAUCCCCAGGACAACCUUGCUUUGAAAGAAAAAAUGUGGUGAGCCUACUUGAAGAUUUGGAUUCCAAGAGGCCUCUGUCUGUCCUGCCUCAGCCAGAGCCAGACAGCCAGCUCAAGGAGAUGGGCAAUUUACAGAGAAAGCAGCAUUGUGUUGAUGUUCCUUUCAGCUGGUCCUAUAGUACCCCUCCUCAGGAAUGUCUCCCCAGUGCAAGGACAAAGACUGAAGAGACUGCUAUAUUGAUGGACUCUCAAGCCAACUAUGAAGUUGAAACAAAGAAAGUGAUCACCUGAAGACACCUCCUCUGCUAAGAAACACCCCCAAAUUGUGCAGCUUCUGCCACUAGAACUCUCAGAACAAGAGACAAUCUUUUCAAGAAACAGAAAAACUCAAUAAUGACAUCUAGAUUUUCAUGAGCCAAGAACUUUCCCUUCCUCAUGUGUAUUCCUCUGUUUGUACUUAAAUUCAUGUGACAUUCAUUUUUUUCCUAGUAUGGAUAUGCUUAUUAAUGCACUUGUUUCAAAAUCCCAAAUUGCACAAAUGUGUUAAUAUUUUAAGAAACAAAAUGAAUCCUACAAGGAGAAUGAUUUUUAGCCACACAUAGGGUUGGAUCUUGAGAGUGACCUACAGAAUAAAAGUACUUUUAAAAUAAAGUAGUCAGAGGCUAUUCAAAGGGUAAAAUAAUCAUAGUACCACAUUGGUCCACUUGACACUAACCAAUCGAUCAUUUUUUUUUAAUCAAGAAAGCUAGAUUCUAUCAGAUAAAAUCACUGCUUCUAAAGAGUUUAAAUCUAGUUAGAAAAAGUUAUAGAAAUGUUUGCAAAGAUAAGUAACAGAUAGAGUCAGUAGAGGAUAAGAUCAAAAACAAAACCAAGCAAAAGAUGAGUUCAGGGGAGUUUGCCAUCAAGUUGGCAAAACUGACUUACUUAGGGAAGAAAGUUAUAAAACAGGAAAAUAUGAGAUGAACCUUGAGUGAUGUGGAAGAUUUAGAUAAAUGGAAAGGAAGGAGAAAAUGGAGUUCUUUAGGUGGUUGUAAUUGGAGGAGGAAAUGAAUACACACAUCUUGUUGACUUAAACCCAGACAUUCAGCAGCUCUCUAUACAUAUCUGGAAAAGACUGCACAGUCACCUCCUGUCUCUCACCCCAGGUAUUACUUAGAAUUAUUAUCAUAUUUCCCUUCCUUUAAAGUAAGUAAGGGUGAUUGGUGACAAUAUGGAGAACUAUGAUUUUUCCAUUAACCUAAUAAUAAUUGGUAUUUAUUGAGUUCUGUUAAGCAUUUUACAUAUUAACUCACUUAAGCCUUUCAACAGCCUUGCAAAAUAGGUAUUAUUAUCCCCAUUUUACAGGCAAGAAAACUGAGGUUUAAGUAACUUGCCGAAGUGCCAUAUACAGGGCUCACAUUCAGUAUUGCAGUUGCAAAGCUCAUGAUCUAUAGUGCCAAGUUGCAAUAUUGUAGUCAAUGUCACAAUUAUUACCCCUUUUUAUAUUCCUUGAUAUUUUUCCAUGGCAAACAAUUAGCUAUUUCAUUUAAUAAUCACCUAAAACUUUUCAGUCUUCUGAUUAAAAUUACGCUGGAGUGAUAGAAUGUAUUUUCAUGAUAGAAAUUGGGAAAAAAAAUGGGGAAUGAAGUUUAUCAGCAUUUCAGACUUGUUUUUUUUUUUUUUUUUUGCAAGACUUUGAUGAGAUUGUUCACUUUUGUCUAUGUAAAAUCCCAAAUCCUUGAGAAUAAAAAAGGGGGAGGUUUAAGUCACUUGUUGCAAUGCCCUUUUUAAUAGAGGCAAUAAAUCUAAAGGCCAUAAAUUUAGAGUGACUUACAGAAGAUCGAACUUUGGAGUGUGGCAGAGUAAGGGAUGGAAACCGGGCCCUCCAGUUCACUAUCAGUAGCUUUUGCACUGGUCUGCCCUUCCUAAAUUAAGUAUGCACUUCAAUUUGAUGAGUGGAAACAGUCUAUCUGGGCAGUAACCAGGGAGCUUUGUGCCUAGUAGAUUGCUUCUGUUCUGCACUUCUUUGGUUUCCCACCUCAAUGUAAAAAAUAGCUAGCAAUGAAGUCCAGAAGUUGUCAAUGGUUCAUCCCCAGAAGAAUGCAUAAUGUCCAAAGUUGUAUGUGUAUGAUGUCUUCAAUGGUAUUAAGUUAUUUCAAAUUCUUAGUUCACCUACAUAAAUCAUUUCUAACAAGCAUCUUCUUAACCAACUUUAUGCACAGUGUAUGUUUGUAAGUGCUUCUGCACGAAUGUUUAUACAUGACUGUUUCCAUAGUACUUAUGUUUUUAAAAAUAUUCAGUCAUUUCCUACUAUAAUCCUCAUGUAUCCAUGUAACUGACUCAAAAAUACUUCAGCCACAGAAAGCUAAAACUGAGCAAAUCUCAUUCUUCUUUUCCAUCCCCUUUGCAUGUGGCUGGCAUUUAGUAAUGAUUAAUAAUAUGGCCAGCUGAAUAACAGAGGUUUGAGACACAAUUCUUUCUCAAAGGAGUCAGCUAAGCUGGGUCUACUUAUGGACAAACAUCUAAAUGUGUGGAAGUAUCUGAUAUUUGACAAUGGUAAAUUUCCACUUAGCUAGCUAGCAUUGUCAGACUUCAAUCUCCUCAUGGCUCUGGCCGUCCUGUUUUAAGCAUGAUAAUUGUUGGCCACAUCUCACAUAGUUCUCAUUGAGUGAGUUCAUAAAUAAACAGGGUUUUUUUUUUUUUUUAAAGAGCAGCCAAGCACAAAGUGUGACUUUGUUGACAUUUUAUGUGACUUUGUCAUAUGUUCCUAACCCCCAAUAAAAGCAAUGUUGCAUCAACUGUGAA
This 3184-nucleotide long non-coding RNA is filed under the name Homo sapiens (human). Its description in RNAcentral is "mir-100-let-7a-2-mir-125b-1 cluster host gene, transcript variant 23 (MIR100HG)". Lineage: Eukaryota; Metazoa; Chordata; Mammalia; Primates; Hominidae. The record is from RNAcentral.